AGAGUUUGAUCCUGGCUCAGGAUGAACGCUGGCGGCGUGCCUAAUACAUGCAAGUCGAGCGAAUGGAUUAAGAGCUUGCUCUUAUGAAGUUAGCGGCGGACGGGUGAGUAACACGUGGGUAACCUGCCCAUAAGACUGGGAUAACUCCGGGAAACCGGGGCUAAUACCGGAUAACAUUUUGAACCGCAUGGUUCGAAAUUGAAAGGCGGCUUCGGCUGUCACUUAUGGAUGGACCCGCGUCGCAUUAGCUAGUUGGUGAGGUAACGGCUCACCAAGGCAACGAUGCGUAGCCGACCUGAGAGGGUGAUCGGCCACACUGGGACUGAGACACGGCCCAGACUCCUACGGGAGGCAGCAGUAGGGAAUCUUCCGCAAUAGACGAAAGUCUGACGGAGCAACGCCGCGUGAGUGAUGAAGGCUUUCGGGUCGUAAAACUCUGUUGUUAGGGAAGAACAAGUGCUAGUUGAAUAAGCUGGCACCUUGACGGUACCUAACCAGAAAGCCACGGCUAACUACGUGCCAGCAGCCGCGGUAAUACGUAGGUGGCAAGCGUUAUCCGGAAUUAUUGGGCGUAAAGCGCGCGCAGGUGGUUUCUUAAGUCUGAUGUGAAAGCCCACGGCUCAACCGUGGAGGGUCAUUGGAAACUGGGAGACUUGAGUGCAGAAGAGGAAAGUGGAAUUCC
Molecule: ribosomal RNA, 682 nt
Filed under: uncultured bacterium
Lineage: Bacteria
Description: bacterial SSU rRNA
Rfam family: Bacterial small subunit ribosomal RNA
Source: RNAcentral